UACAGAGGUGGCAAGCGUUGUUCGGAAUUACUGGGCGUAAAGGGCGCGUAGGCGGCCUUCUUAGUCGGACGUGAAAUCCCCAGGCUCAACUUGGGAACUGCGUCCGAUACUGGAAGGCUUGAAUCCGGGAGAGGGAUGUGGAAUUCCAGGUGUAGCGGUGAAAUGCGUAGAUAUCUGGAGGAACACCGGUGGCGAAGGCGACAUCCUGGACCGGUAUUGACGCUGAGGCGCGAAAGCCAGGGGAGCAAACGGG
RNAcentral lists this ribosomal RNA (253 nucleotides) under uncultured bacterium. Its description in RNAcentral is "partial 16S ribosomal RNA". It matches the Rfam family "Bacterial small subunit ribosomal RNA", at positions 524 to 776 of the family's 1533-position model. The record is from RNAcentral.